CCUACGGGAGGCAGCAGUAAGGAAUAUUGGUCAAUGGACGCAAGUCUGAACCAGCCAUGCCGCGUGGAGGAUGAAGGUCCUCUGGAUUGUAAACUUCUUUUAUUUGGGGAGAAACCCACGAUUUCUAUUGUGGUUGACGGUACCAGAUGAAUAAGCACCGGCUAACUCCGUGCCAGCAGCCGCGGUAAUACGGAGGGUGCAAGCGUUAUCCGGAUUCACUGGGUUUAAAGGGUGCGUAGGCGGGCAGGUAAGUCAGUGGUGAAAUCUCCGAGCUUAACUUGGAAACUGCCGUUGAUACUAUCUGUCUUGAAUGCUGUGGAGGUAAGCGGAAUAUGUCAUGUAGCGGUGAAAUGCUUAGAUAUGACAUAGAACACCUAUUGCGAAGGCAGCUUGCUACACAGAAAUUGACGCUGAGGCACGAAAGCGUGGGGAUCAAACAGGAUUAGAUACCCUGGUAGUCCACGACCUAACGAUAGAUACUCGACAUCAGACGAUACACAGUGGUGUGUGAGACGAAGACGAUUAAGUAAGUCCUACCGUUCGGAAGUACGACCGACGAAGGUUAGUUAACGUUAAAGGUAAGUUAGACGGCGUUGAGACGUUGCCGACGGACGACGACGAGGGAGGAGG
RNAcentral lists this ribosomal RNA (630 nucleotides) under uncultured bacterium. Its description in RNAcentral is "bacterial SSU rRNA". The stretch from base 1 to 538 matches the Rfam family "Bacterial small subunit ribosomal RNA", at positions 338 to 873 of the family's 1533-position model. The record is from RNAcentral.